This is a long non-coding RNA of Saccostrea cuccullata (small rock oyster), 245 nucleotides long. RefSeq lists it as uncharacterized. The transcript has 2 exons. The record is from RefSeq and is a predicted model, not a curated record. Lineage: Eukaryota; Metazoa; Mollusca; Bivalvia; Ostreida; Ostreidae.
UUAUUUUGACACACUGUUACAUUUUGUAUACAGUUUGCACACGACAACUACACACGGGCCGAGGUGUCACUUAAUUAUGGACCCUUUGCACCCAGCACUAAAUAUUUCACGGGAACUCACCUUCCAUUCUUCAUUCAUUUGGCGCCGAAUUCUCCGAGACACUAGACAGAUAACUUCGAAGCAGUAAGAAGGUAUCCACUGAUUAAAAAAAGAACAAUGCCUGCCACAUGCAAUUGCUCAGAAAG